RNAcentral lists this ribosomal RNA (486 nucleotides) under uncultured bacterium. Its description in RNAcentral is "partial 16S ribosomal RNA". It matches the Rfam family "Bacterial small subunit ribosomal RNA", at positions 30 to 507 of the family's 1533-position model. The record is from RNAcentral.
AUUGAACGCUGGCGGCAUGCCUUACACAUGCAAGUCGAACGGCAGCACGGGUGCUUGCACCUGGUGGCGAGUGGCGAACGGGUGAGUAAUACAUCGGAACAUGUCCUGUAGUGGGGGAUAGCCCGGCGAAAGCCGGAUUAAUACCGCAUACGAUCUACGGAUGAAAGCGGGGGACCUUCGGGCCUCGCGCUAUCGGGUUGGCCGAUGGCUGAUUAGCUAGUUGGUGGGGUAAAGGCCUACCAAGGCGACGAUCAGUAGCUGGUCUGAGAGGACGACCAGCCACACUGGGACUGAGACACGGCCCAGACUCCUACGGGAGGCAGCAGUGGGGAAUUUUGGACAAUGGGCGAAAGCCUGAUCCAGCAAUGCCGCAUGUGUGAAGAAGGCCUUCGGGUUGUAAAGCACUUUUGUCCGGAAAGAAAUCCUUGGCCCUAAUACGGUCGGGGGAUGACGGUACCGGAAGAAUAAGCACCGGCUAACUACGUG